AUACGUAGGGUGCAAGCGUUAAUCGGAAUUACUGGGCGUAAAGCGUGCGCAGGCGGUUUUGUAAGACAGAGGUGAAAUCCCCGGGCUCAACCUGGGAAGUGCCUUUGAGACUGGAAGGCUAGAGUACGGCAGAGGGGGAUGGAAUUCCCCGUGUAGCGGUGAAAUGCGUAGAUAUGGGGAGGAACACCGAUGGCGAAGGCAAUCCUCUGGGCCUGUACAGACGCUCAUGCACGAAAGCGGGGGGAGCAAACAGGAUUAGAUCCCCUGAGUGUCCACCGCCAAAACUAUGUCAUCAGGUUGUUGGGUCUUCAUGGACUCAGUGACGAAGCUAACGCGUGAAGUAGUCCGCCUGGGGAGUACGGCCGCAAGAUUGAAACUCAAAUGAAUUGACGGGG
This 395-nucleotide ribosomal RNA is filed under the name uncultured bacterium. RNAcentral describes it as "partial 16S ribosomal RNA". It matches the Rfam family "Bacterial small subunit ribosomal RNA", at positions 523 to 918 of the family's 1533-position model. The record is from RNAcentral.